Molecule: long non-coding RNA, 324 nt
Filed under: Penaeus japonicus
Lineage: Eukaryota; Metazoa; Arthropoda; Malacostraca; Decapoda; Penaeidae
Description: uncharacterized LOC122258234
Source: RNAcentral
CCCCGAGUGCUUGGUGCCAGAGUGCCAGUGUCCCUCUGCCUUUCCCUCAGUACACAUGUGGCUCGAGCAGUUCCCGGCACCAUUAAAGGAGGCGUCGGCUACGUGCACACGUUAUAACUUUUCUAAGCUGCCAUGGGAAAAGCAGUCGUACUGAAGUGGGGGACUUUUACGGGGUUGCUGUCGACUUUUCUUAUCGCGAAGUACCACUUCCAGUAUGAUUUGGAGCCUUGGUUUCGUAUCCCGGAAGUGUCUCCGCCUAUACAAAACGGUAACCUCGUAUUCUGAAGUUCAUUAUCUAAAAAGAACUCUUAUUCAAUGAGUUAU